GGAUAACGUUUGGAAACGAACGCUAAUACCGCAUGAUAUUAUCUUAUCGCAUGAUAGGAUGAUCAAAGGAGUGAUCCGCUGAAAGAUGGGCUCGCGUCCGAUUAGGUAGUUGGUGAGGUAACGGCCCACCAAGCCGACGAUCGGUAGCCGGACUGAGAGGUUGGACGGCCACAUUGGGACUGAGACACGGCCCAGACUCCUACGGGAGGCAGCAGUAAGGGAUAUUGGUCAAUGGGGGAAACCUUGAACCAGCAACGCCGCGUGAGGGAAGACGGUUUUCGGAUUGUAAACCUCUGUCCUCUGUGAAGAUGAUGACGGUAGCAGAGGAGGAAGCUCCGGCUAACUACGUGCCAGCAGCCGCGGUAAUACGUAGGGAGCGAGCGUUGUCCGGAUUUACUGGGUGUAAAGGGUGCGUAGGCGGCUAUGCAAGUCAGUAGUGAAAUCCAUGGGCUUAACCCAUGAACUGCUAUUGAAACUGCACAGCUUGAGUGAAGUAGAGGUAGGCGGAAUUCCCGGUGUAGCGGUGAAAUGCGUAGAGAUCGGGAGGAACACCAGUGGCGAAGGCGGCCUACUGGGCUUUAACUGACGCUGAGGCACGAAAGCGUGGGUAGCAAACAGGAUUAGAUACCCUGGUAGUCCACGCUGUAAACGAUGAUUACUAGGUGUGGGGGGACUGAACCCUUCCGUGCCGGAG
Molecule: ribosomal RNA, 694 nt
Filed under: uncultured bacterium
Lineage: Bacteria
Description: bacterial SSU rRNA
Rfam family: Bacterial small subunit ribosomal RNA
Source: RNAcentral